Molecule: ribosomal RNA, 236 nt
Filed under: uncultured Pseudomonas sp.
Lineage: Bacteria; Pseudomonadati; Pseudomonadota; Gammaproteobacteria; Pseudomonadales; Pseudomonadaceae
Description: partial 16S ribosomal RNA
Rfam family: Bacterial small subunit ribosomal RNA
Source: RNAcentral
CCUAGGAAUCUGCCUGGUAGUGGGGGACAACGUUUCGAAAGGAACGCUAAUACCGCAUACGUCCUACGGGAGAAAGCAGGGACCUUCGGGCCUUGCGCUAUCAGAUGAGCCUAGGUCGGAUUAGCUAGUUGGUGAGGUAAUGGCUCACCAAGGCGACGAUCCGUAACUGGUCUGAGAGGAUGAUCAGUCACACUGGAACUGAGACACGGUCCAGACUCCUACGGGAGGCAGCAGCU